Molecule: long non-coding RNA, 2033 nt
Filed under: Zostera marina
Lineage: Eukaryota; Viridiplantae; Streptophyta; Magnoliopsida; Alismatales; Zosteraceae
Description: long non-coding RNA (ZMAR_LNC005023)
Source: RNAcentral
GGACAGGCAGUUUGGAGAGCAUCGGAAAAAUUACUUUUCCAUUUGUGAGUUUUCAUUUUCCUGCAUUUCUCAAUCAUUCUCAGUGCUUGGAUUUUUUUCCUGUUUCGUUCUGGUAAUCUUUUGUGUUUGAUGUUCUCAUUUCUCAGGUAUCAUUUCAGAUUUUGUUCAAUUUCAGUUUCAUCCUCUUCCUGUUUCAAUUCCUAAAAUCAAGUCUCUUCCCAAAUUUAUUUUCAAUUUCUACUGUAAACUGUUAAUGUGUUUUCUAUCAUUGUAUACAAAUCAACUCUACAAAUCUAUUAGAUGUUAAUCUGUUUCAAUUUGCUUAAUACAGUAAACUUUCCUCAAGCAAUUUUUGAAUAAAUUCAAUGUCACUUUAUAAGUUUCCUUUUGAAAUCAAUUCACUGUAAGUUUUCUAUUGAUUCUUUAGUUGUUUCUUGAAAUCAAUUUCAUACUGUUAAUUCUGUUUCAAACAGAUUAAUAAAUCACUUCUGUAAUUCUCUUAUCGUUAUCUUGAAAUCAACUCCAUAUUGUUAAUUCUGUUUUAAACAGAUUAAUAAAUCAUAUUGUUAAUUUCAUUGCUUCUUAGUAUCAUUUUGUAAUUAAUUCAAUACUAAAAAUUCUGUUUCAAGCAAAUUUAUAUUCUUUCUAUUUCAUUGUGUUUAAAUUUCUAUUUUCUUCUUCUCGUUUUAAAUCAAAUGAAUAAACUAAUUCCUACUGUAUUCUUGUGAGAUUUGAUUACUAUCUACAUCUCAUAGUAUUCAUUUAAUCUAGACAAAUAAAUUCUGAUUCUUUACACCUAGGGUUAGGCCUUAAUAUUCCUAGGCUAUCCUGGUGGAUCGGGCUGCCUUCCAAGACCGUCAUGUCGGGUCGGACUGGAUCCUGUAAUAUUACUCAUUGACCACUCCAGUAGCCGAGGGUAUUAUCAAUUUGCUUGAUUUUUAAAGUAGUAUUGUUUAUAAUGACAGCAUUGAAAAAUUAGGGCUUGGAAACAAAUUUGUGUUUUGCUCAGAAAAACAUCCAUAAUGUGAGGAAACAUUAUACCCUAAACAAUUGUAGCCAAAAUAUAAAAAUCCAAUUACCUGAUUGUAAAAUCGUAAAUUAUUAAAAUAACAUGGGUAUAAUUGUACUCAAAUGUAAGACGAGUUUAUUUUUUGGGAUAUUUUUAAAUUGAAUUUUAAUGUUUUUCGAUUUUUUUAUAACGAAUGACCUCUUUACAAAUGUAGAAAUAUCUAAAUGAUAUACCAGAGACAGAAUAUAUAUCAAUUAUAUCUUAAGGUAAAUACUUACGUAGUUAAACUCAAACUCUAGAUUCUCAGAAACCGUAAUAGUUGAGCUAAAGUCCUCUGUGUUCAGUAGUAAUUUAUAUUUUAAAGAUUAACCACACUGAGUUUUAGUUUCCAAUAUGAGAUUAUAUGAAAUUAAUGAAUCAGCAUGGUUAAUUUUAAUCUUAAUGAUAUAAUAUGUUUGAAAAUCUGUCUUGUUUAUCCUCUAAUAAUGACGUAGUAUUGUAAAAUUCAGAUGGAUAGAAUCAAAUAUCUCACAUUAUUUUAUUAUAAAUUAUCUUACAUGAUUCAAUCCUAAAUUUAUUUCAAUUUACAAGAUGUAAUUAUUUUUAUUGAUGCAUUGGUCAGCACAUGGUCCACCUAUGGCUCCACAUGAAACGACCAAACCACGCUUAUUGAUGCCAGAAGCUUGCACCUGCUGUUCAGCCGCCAAAAUGUUUGUUUUGAUCUUGUUUUCCAUCUCUAGAAGAAGAAAAUGGAUUUGAAUAACAAAAAUGAUAUUUGAGAAAAGCAUUGUCAAGUCAAAGAAUAUAUAGACUGUUGGGAUGUGGCGUAAUUUUGAUAAAUGAAAAUCACUUGUCAGAAAGUAAGAAAAAUUCUGGAGUUACCGAAUUUCAUUAUUAUAGUUUGGGCUUAUAUACGAGAUGGGCUGAAUUGGGCCCUUUGAAUGAUUGAGUAUAAAUGGAUUUUCGGGUCUAAUCUUGGGCCUUGCAAUGAUCAAUAGGAGCUGAUCAGGUGAAUUUAACGUAA